AGUGAACGCUGGCGGUAGGCCUAACACAUGCAAGUCGAACGGCAGCACAGUAAGAGCUUGCUCUUACGGGUGGCGAGUGGCGGACGGGUGAGGAAUACAUCGGAAUCUACUUUUUCGUGGGGGAUAACGUAGGGAAACUUACGCUAAUACCGCAUACGACCUACGGGUGAAAGCAGGGGAUCUUCGGACCUUGCGCGAUUGAAUGAGCCGAUGUCGGAUUAGCUAGUUGGCGGGGUAAAGGCCCACCAAGGCGACGAUCCGUAGCUGGUCUGAGAGGAUGAUCACCCACGCUGGAACUGAGCCACGGUCCAGACUCCUACGGGAGGCAGCAGUGGGGAAUAUUGGACAAAGGGCGCAAGCCUGAUCCAGCCAUACCGCGUGGGUGAAGAAGGCCUUCGGGUUGUAAAGCCCUUUUGUUGGGAAAGAAAAGCAGCAGGUUAAUACCCCGCUGUUCUGACGGUACCCAAAGAAUAAGCACCGGCUAACUUCGUG
This 492-nucleotide ribosomal RNA is filed under the name uncultured bacterium. RNAcentral's name for it is "partial 16S ribosomal RNA". It matches the Rfam family "Bacterial small subunit ribosomal RNA", at positions 29 to 507 of the family's 1533-position model. The record is from RNAcentral.